UACGUAGGGGGCAAGCGUUAUCCGGAUUUACUGGGUGUAAAGGGAGCGUAGACGGUUAUGUAAGUCUGGAGUGAAAGCCCGGGGCCCAACCCCGGGACUGCUUUGGAAACUGUGUAACUGGAGUACAGGAGGGGCAGGCGGAAUUCCUGGUGUAGCGGUGAAAUGCGUAGAUAUCACGCAGAACUCCGAUUGCGAAGGCAGCUUACUAAGCCAUAACUGACACUGAAGCACGAAAGCGUGGGGAUCAAACAGG
RNAcentral lists this ribosomal RNA (253 nucleotides) under uncultured Eubacteriales bacterium. RNAcentral describes it as "uncultured Clostridiales bacterium partial 16S ribosomal RNA". It matches the Rfam family "Bacterial small subunit ribosomal RNA", at positions 524 to 776 of the family's 1533-position model. Lineage: Bacteria; Bacillati; Bacillota; Clostridia; Eubacteriales. The record is from RNAcentral.